GCCUCUGCCUGCAAAAGAUACCAAGAGCCACCGGAUCUUUCAUUCACUCUCCACUUUUUAGCUAUAAAUUCAUACCCACCUCGUUGUUUCCGCUUGCCAAGCUCAUAAGCCUACCUGCCCAACUCAACUCUCAUAUUUGAUCCUCUCCUGUUCAGGGUAAAUAUGGCAACUGUGACUGUUCCCUCCCAAUGCAUGGUCAAAAUUGCACCCAAAAAUCAGUUUGCAAGCACCAUAAUCAAGAAUCCGUGUUCACUGGGAUCAGUAAGGAGCAUCUCCAAGUCUUUUCGCUUGAAAUGCUCCCAAAAUUUCAAAGCAUCAAUGGCAGUGUACAAAAUCAAGUUAAUUGGGCCAGAAGGUGAAGAGCAAGAAUUUGAUGCAGCUGAUGAUACAUACAUCCUAGAUGCAGCUGAGAAUGCUGGAGUUGAGCUGCCGUAUUCUUGCAGGGCUGGGGCUUGCUCUACUUGUGCCGGGAAGAUGGUGUCAGGUUCAGUCGACCAGUCUGAUGGUUCCUUCCUGGAUGAGACUCAAAUGAGCGAGGGUUAUCUACUGACUUGCAUUUCAUACCCGACUUCUGAUUGUGUGAUUUACACUCACCAGGAGAGUGAACUUUGCUGAGUAUUGUCUGUCAUAGUUCAGUAGAUUAUGAAGUUUAAGUAAACCUGUUAAAAGGAUUCGUCUGAUGAUGAAGGUUCUUUUGGACCUUUGGUUCUUUUUUAAGUGGCUUUAUAAUCAGUAUGUUGGUGAUAUUCACCCAUCCAGUUUGUACUGGUAAUUCUGUUGCCUAAAUUUAUAAGCUUUGAUUUAUGAAAUGUGACCAUUUUCAAA
This 825-nucleotide unclassified non-coding RNA is filed under the name Hevea brasiliensis (rubber tree). Lineage: Eukaryota; Viridiplantae; Streptophyta; Magnoliopsida; Malpighiales; Euphorbiaceae. The record is from RNAcentral.